Long non-coding RNA from Medicago truncatula (barrel medic), 1857 nucleotides. RefSeq lists it as uncharacterized. The transcript is spliced from 2 exons. NCBI's taxonomy places the organism in Eukaryota, Viridiplantae, Streptophyta, Magnoliopsida, Fabales, Fabaceae. The record is from RefSeq and is a predicted model, not a curated record.
CAGAGUUAUUUUUGUCAUUUUCAAUCCUAAAAGUUGCUUUUCAGAUAACACUGUCACACCACGUUCUCUUUCACUAUUCUUUUCUUCUUUUCUUCCUUAUUUCAUUUUCUCUCACUCUCUCCCAUUUCUUCUCACUCUCAAAGUCAGAUUCAAAAAAAAUUGAAUCCAUCUUCAUCUUUCUUUACCCAAUAACAAUCACUUCUUUUUGUUUUCUGAUUAUGUGCUUAUGAUUUUGUUUAUUUCUCUUUAAAGAAAUUCAAUUUACUUGCUUUGUUGUUUGCUUUUGUUGUUGUUGGAAAGGAAGGAAAGCACAAGAGAAGGAAAUCAGGGGAACAUAUAUAUGCACCCAACAAGGAGAAGGAAAGUAUGUGAGAAGGAAGAACAAAUUUAUGGAUUUUGAAGCUUUGUCUCAGAGAUAAAGAUUUUUAUUCGAGAUAAAGAAAAUGGGUCACUUAUUGUCACUUUCUCAUCUUUACUCUCUUAUCUAUACAUUUAUUCAAUUUAUUGUCACUAACUCAUAUUUCCUAACAAUAUUUAGUUUCCUGCAUUUUUUGCGUGUGUAGAUUUAACAUGAUGACUCUCUUUUUCUUCCUUUCAUUUCCUUCAAAUUCAAACUAAUUUUCAUAUUUUGAUUAUCCUUGCUAGGAAUGCACGGGUAGCUUAUGAAAAGAUCAAGCUAAUUUUCUUACACAGAUCAUUCACAAACUAUGCAUCAAAAUAGCACUUACAACUUUUAUUUUUCUUUCAACUUAAUCAAUCAUGGUUUACUUUUUGAAAUACAAAAUAAAUUGUAAAAAUUACUUUCUACUCUAUCUUUUACAAACUCUUCAGAUUUGAAUAUAUAAAAUAGAGUGCAGCCAGCCAAAUAAAUAAAAAUUCAUCACUUUGCAAAUUAAUAUACUACUAUGUUUAUCAAUUUUUCAGAUCUAUUAAUAUUAAAUCGUUUAUAAAAAAGUAAACAUGGAUAUUUUUAAUCCCUAAGAAAAUUAAACAGAUUUUGUACAUACAACGUAGAUAUUUCGAAAAGUAGAGUUUUUUUUUUCUUUGUUAUAUUUGUAUAAAGAUAAUUUCAAAAAAUCAACGAAAAAUGGAAGUGUGUGUCUGAUCUUCAUACAAAAUAUUUUUCAUUAGAAAAUUAAAAAAUAAAUACAAACAGAUCCUACACUAAACAAUAAAAUAAAAAAUUUCAAUAAUAAAACAAUACAAAGUUUGAGAUCCAAAAUUUAAUCACAAGUUUGUUGUUGAUGCAGGGAAUGAGAGAAGGGGGAAUUUCUUUAGAAUUUGAUGCCCAUAUCAACAAAUAGAUUCCAAUAAAGCUUACAUGAUCAGUCUUGCAGAUUUGGUACUAAACUUUAUGAAAGUCAAAUCUACAUGACAAGGAAGGGGUUUUAUUUUUCUGUGGUGGGGAAAUAUAAGAAGUUGAGAAUGACCCUUUUUUCAAAGUAACUCCUUAAAAAAAUUUGUUUUAAUAGAAAUAUAGAGGAAGAUUAAAGGAUAACAAAUAUGAAAUUUAUUUGCAUAAAAGGUGAUCGGAAAUGGAGAGCUAGGUGGCCGGUUUGUGGCUAGAGGCUUGAGUUUUGGGAGAAAUUGGAGAAGAAGGAACGAGAUAGAAUGAAAAGUAAUAAUGGAAUGGAGUGGGUGAGAGAUUCCCGAAAAAUAAAUCGGGAAUAAGCCCAAAUUUAAUUUUAUAUGUGUGGGUUGAAAAGUCAAAGAUGGAAAGAAAUCAUAAAAAAUCGAUUUUUUUUUAUUUGAGAACAAAUUGAUUUGUUCUAUCGGAUAAAAUUAGUGUUCUUAUUGGUCUUUAUGUGAAACAAAUCUUAGUAAUUAAAAUCAAUGACUAAUAUUAAUUUUUUUUAA